RNAcentral lists this long non-coding RNA (4571 nucleotides) under Homo sapiens (human). RNAcentral's name for it is "long independently transcribed non-coding RNA 2955, transcript variant 14 (LINC02955)". Lineage: Eukaryota; Metazoa; Chordata; Mammalia; Primates; Hominidae. The record is from RNAcentral.
ACACGCUUCCCCACUGAGGGAAGACCAUGUGACUAUACAACAGGAAGGUAGUUGUUUACAAGCCAGGAAGAGAGCCCUCACCAGAAACCAAAUUGGCUGGCGCCUUGAUCAUGGACUCCUGGGCUCCGGAACUGUAAGAAAAUUUGUGUUGUGGAAGCCACCCAGCCCAUGGUAUUUCGUUAUGGCAGCCUGAGCAGAGGUGGUAGCUAUGUGGACAGUUUUUGGACUUCUCUAUUAUGAGAAAACAGAAGCAAAGGCAGAAAGAUGCUACAUUGCCAGCUUUGAAGAUGGAGGGAAGAGGUCACAAACCAAGGAAGGUGAGUGGUGCCUAGAAGUUGGAAAAGACAUGGAAACACAUUCUUCUGUAAAGCACUUAGAAAGAAAUACAGUCUUCCAAAAUGUUGAUCUUAGCCAGGCAAUGAGGACGUUGCACAAGACAGUCCCUGAUACCCAGAGUUUACUGCCUAAGAGAGGAUACAUCCUUCAAACCAAUAAUCUGCUAAUAGCAAGAUCCAAUAGCUUCAUGGAUAUUGAAAGAAACUGAGAAUCAAAUUUGCAUACUUCUGAGUCACUUGGAAACAAAAAACAAGUACAGUCUUAGAUUCUGAGGGAACAAAAAUUAAAAAUCACAUUAGGAAGAGAAUUCCUAAUGUAGGAACUCAUCCUGGAAGAUUCUUCAGCAAAAGUACAGACAAUAAUAAUAAUACUCCAUGAAGUUACCAUCGAUAUUGAAUGAAUUAAUGAAUGUAAAAACCUCAAAACCCUGCCUGGCCCAGAGCUUUGGAAUGGGUUUGGAUCUACCACUCAACUGCUUUAUGACUUCAGACCAGUUAUUUAAAUUCCCUGAAGCUCAGUUUCCACAUCUUUGAGUUUUUAUUAAUGACCUGCCGACAUCAUACAGUUCAUGAAAUGCUCUGGAUGUGUACAUGCUGAUGAUACGACCUCAGACCCAGCAAGAGCUCAGUGCAGCCCGGAGAGCUGUGAGCAGUGCCACAGGAGGAGAUGACUGGUGAGUGAAAUAAGCAAGAUAGGAGUUGAAGUGUACAUGAAGCAGAGUCCAAGCCUUCUCCUUCUGGAUGUUCAGCUGGAUCAUCCUGACUGCUCCCACUUUCAUCUUGGCUUUCAAAGGCAAGAGGAAAUUAUAAGGAAUAUUCUGAGUGGCUUUCAUCCAGGAGUUCUGUGGGACCCGCAACACCUGGAUGGUAGAUGCAAACAGAUAAAGAAUAUUGGUCACCAAAAGGAGUUCUUUUCAUCAUAGAUCUCUGAAGGUAGACACCUAUUUGCAGACUUCUCAAAGGGCUAUAUGGAUGUGCUCUACUUGUUGGAGGAUUGUCCAUCCACUCUUCUUCCUGUACUUACCAGGACAGAACAGCCGCAACUUCUCAGACAGUUCAUUCUUCUUUUCCUCACCUACUACCAUCUAAGAAAGGUACUUGAUGACUGUGGCUUUAGACAAGAGUCCUUUUCUUACCACAGGGUGGGCAGCACCAGCUCAUUAGAACCAUUUGUGUGACUGACUGAAGACAGCUCACCUUGGAACACUGCAGGCCUCCAAAGAAGUCUACAAAUUCCAUCAGUCAGUAACGGCUUGGAGUUCCAAAGCUUAUGACUCAAAGGAUACAUGGCUUCUGAUGGCCCUGCUGGGGAGACCAUGUGGAGAGAUGGCAUAGAGCCAGAGAUUCACGUUCCAGGAGCCCUGACUGUCUCAUCUCAGGGAAUUGAAUCUCCUUGUGCUCCAGACCCUAUGAGAGGAUGCCAUCCCCUGCUACCAUCUGACUGCAACCUCAGGAGACACCCCAAGCCAGAACUGAGCAGCCAAGCCACUCUCAUAUUCUUGACCCAUAGACAUUGGGAGAUAAAAACUGAUUGUUGUCAAUUUUAGUCAGUACAUUUUAGGGCAAUUUGAUGUCCUAGCAAUAGACUAGUAUAUUUAUCCAUUGCUGCAUCUUCUUCUGCUUAGAUUAUGAUGCAUGUUUUUUAGCUCCAACUAGUAUCUAAACUUGUCAUGGUCUUUGCUUGAAAGUUUGAUUUUUUGCUGCCCUUGAACUUUACCCCUGAUUCCAAUUUACCCAUUUGUUUUGGUUUAGUUUAAGGAGAUUGUAAACAAGUAUGCCUACAAGGGCCAUGCAACAAAUGCUAAAAAGAGAAGUAGACCUGGGCAGGGAGGCAAGGGAGCGGAAAGAUGUGUAGUACGUUCAGCUCAGGUCACGUUCAUCAUCCAGCUCUGGAAGAUGGAUCCAGUGGGCAUGUGUGCCUAAUGAUGCCACAUUAUCUGAUUUUUUUCUCCAAAAGAAAAAUCAAGAUUUUUAUUAAAAAUCUUCUGGUUUAAAAAAAUUUAAAUGCUAUUCAAAUUUCAAUAACAACCAUGCCAGAUAAAAAAUAGCUACUGACUGAACUUAGCCAUGAUCUGCCAACUUGCAACCUCCAAAUUAGAAGUUUUUAGCCACUAUGGAUGUUAGGAAGACCUGAAACACAGAAUAGAGAGAUUCCAAUUUUUCUAGUGACAAUGAGUCCUGAGAAAGGUGACAAAAUCAGAAUAACCUUUGGAGAAAGAUAAAUGCUACUAUCAGUGGAAUGGGAUUCAGUCUUCAGCCUGUUGUAGUAAUUCAGUAAGCACAUGUGGUCAUUGAGUGAACUCGCAUGGCCAAUACAAGGUAAGCUUGGCGGUUCCUUCUAUGUCAAACGUUCUAUUUAAAUAGAGAGAAAAGAGGAGUAAUAAUUGUUAAAACCCUUUUGCAGUUUUAAAAAGGCAUAUAAAUAGUAAAGGACCAGUUACCUUGCUUGAGAAAUUUGUACAGUACCUAGUUGUUCCUGAAAGAGUGUACUGACAGGAGCUGAAAAGCCUACCUGGAAGAGAAUAUGGUCCCAAAUUCCAAAGGCAGAAAGGAACACAGGUUAAAUAGAAGGAGCAGUAACAACCCAGACCAGAGAAGCCAGGCAAAGCCUUGGAGACUAGGUAUACAUAGGAGAUAGCAGUUCUCAAUUCCCAUUCCCUUUGUGCCAAGCACAGGCACCGUGAUCCUUCACUGAAGCUCAGUGAACACUGUUCUCAGAGAGAGGUCCUGUCAGCAUCCACCUACCGAACCAUCAAAUGUGUAUCUGUCUCAGUUCUGCUUGGGAGCCUGAUACAGAUCUUUCCAUCACUCAUGAAGGCCCUAGAAUGCAUCCUCUUUUUUUUUUUUUCCUUCUGGAAAAUAUCAACCAGUUUUGGUAGAUUUUACCUUUCCAUUCUCUGUGUCCCUCCAUUAUUUUGGUCAACUCACCUCUGAAAACAGCAAAGCCUCUCAGGUCUACCGUGGGACACGCAGAAUUACAAGCUGAGCUACCCUCUGGGAUGGAAGCAGGGGUCUGGGAGGGUGGCACUAACGCUUAAUAUUAUUGAGUUAAAAUCUCAAUAAAUUAUCCCAGUAAAUCAUACAAUCAGAAAGACAAAGUCCUUGCCAAUAAAUAUGCACAACUCUCUGCCUAGAGACAAACCCACCUUGAGUUCACUCACGCAACCCAAUACCCAUAAACUACUCUCCAUAAAGCAAUGGAAAAGAGGAGCUGAGGUUAACAAAGUUCUUUCAGCCUACCCACGUAGGCUGACAUUUAUCUGCAUGCAUAGAACUCACAACAUUUAUUGUAGCAGAGUACAUAUUUCAGAAAACUGAUUUUGCUUUUUCCUAUAGCUGAUAACCUGGAAAAUACAGUCAUCUGUACUCUGUCUCCCAGGCGAUAGUGCAAAUCAGUAAAGAGUUUCCAUUGAUGGUUCUUUUGCAGACUCUAACCACAAUUGAACUCUCUGCUUUCCAUCAGUCGCCCACCCUGUUGUGUACAAAGAAGCAGAUAUGCAAUAUAGCAGGAGCCCCAAGAAAAGGUCUGGCUGUUCUGUCAAAACUAUUUAGUUCAAUAUUGUUCUCAAUGUGGCACCAUAGCCCUGGACAUGACACCCAGCACGUCCAAACAGACAUGAUUAUAUAUGAGACAGAAAGGCACUUACAUCACUGCGGGUUGUUAUGCUUUAAAGGGCUUUUUCCCCCCUCUUCAAAUUAAAAGUUUUCAAAAAUGAAAUAAAAAUAAACCUUUGAAGAAACCAGAUUGAGACUGAAUUUGGAAGGCCCUCCUGCCUAGUGUAUACUAAAGAAACAUUUUCUGGGUUUGUCCCUGAUGAUUUUCCUUGUAGUUGAGAAACACAAUCCACUGGAAGCUUUUGUGGCAGAACAAGAAUUUUAUGAACACGAACUUUACAAAGACUUCCCUAGGAGAUUUAAGGUCUGGAAAUCAAUAGAUCAAUCAGCAGCUUUUAUCAAUCUAUAAUGGUUCUCUCUCUUUGGAUGUUUGGAUGAAAAUGGGAUCAACGUAAAUUGAACAUGGAAUCACUUAUUCUUACAAGUUAAAUUUGUCAAACUGUAAGGCACAUAAAUGACAUGAAAUGUAAUCAUUUUUGAAUUUGGGACCCUACAGGGUGCACGUUGAUUGAAGAAAAAACAAGCAGAUGUUGCUUCAGCAUAACUCAUAGAGGCAAUCUAAAUGUUCUUCAAUCCCUGACACUUCUGAUCGUUUCCCAAAUAAACCAGUUCAUUAGUUAA